GCAACCCGGGGAACUGAAACAUCUAAGUACCCGGAGGAGAAGAAAACAAAAGUGAUUCCGUAAGUAGUGGCGAGCGAACGCGGAGCAGCCCAAACCAUAGUUGUUACGGCAAUUGUGGGGUAAUAGGACCACGCCAUUUGAUGCUUAAUGAAUUAGAAUCUACUGGAAAGUAGGACCAAAGAGGGUGAUAGUCCCGUAUAGGUAAGUUGAGUUAUUGAUAGUGGUAUCCUGAGUAGUGCGGGGCACGUGAAACCUUGCAUGAAUUUGCCGGGACCAUCCGGUAAGGCUAAAUACUCCUGAGAGACCGAUAGUGAACCAGUACCGUGAGGGAAAGGUGAAAAGAACCCUGAAUAAGGGAGUGAAAUAGAUCCUGAAACCAUACGCUUACAAGCGGUCGGAAUGCUGAAUUUAUUUCAGUAUGACGGCGUGCCUUUUGCAUAAUGAGCCUACGAGUUACCGUUGCUAGCAUGGUUAAUCCGUUCAGCGGAGAAUCCGAAGCGAAAGCGAGUCUGAAUAGGGCGCAAUAGUUAGCAGUGGUAGACGCGAAACCGAGUGAUCUACCCAUGAGCAGGUUGAAGCUGUGGUAACACACCGUGGAGGACCGAACCCGUUGACGUUGAAAAGUCUUGGGAUGACUUGUGGGUAGGGGUGAAAGGCCAAUCAAACUCGGAAAUAGCUCGUACUCCCCGAAAUGCAUUUAGGUGCAGCGUUGUAAAAGUUAUAUAGAGGUAGAGCUACUGAUUGGAUGCGGGGGCUUCACCGCCUACCAAUUCCUGACAAACUCCGAAUGCUAUAUAAUGAUUUACAGCAGUGAGGGCAUGG
RNAcentral lists this ribosomal RNA (822 nucleotides) under uncultured bacterium. Its description in RNAcentral is "bacterial LSU rRNA". It matches the Rfam family "Bacterial large subunit ribosomal RNA", at positions 180 to 994 of the family's 2925-position model. The record is from RNAcentral.